UACAGAGGUCCCAAGCGUUGUUCGGAUUCACUGGGCGUAAAGGGUGCGUAGGCGGUCGGGUAAGUCUGAUGUGAAAUCUCACAGCUUAACUGUGAAACUGCAUUGGAUACUAGCCGGCUCGAGGAAUGGAGGGGAGACUGGAAUACUUGGUGUAGCAGUGAAAUGCGUAGAGAUCCGGAAGAACACCGGUGGCGAAGGCGGUCUGCUGGGCAGUUGCUGACACUGAGGCGCGACAGCGUGGGGAGCAAACAGG
RNAcentral lists this ribosomal RNA (253 nucleotides) under uncultured bacterium. RNAcentral describes it as "partial 16S ribosomal RNA". It matches the Rfam family "Bacterial small subunit ribosomal RNA", at positions 524 to 776 of the family's 1533-position model. The record is from RNAcentral.